Molecule: non-coding RNA, 24 nt
Filed under: Gossypium hirsutum (cotton)
Lineage: Eukaryota; Viridiplantae; Streptophyta; Magnoliopsida; Malvales; Malvaceae
Source: RNAcentral
AUUCUCAAUUGAAACAAAUAAUGC